AGGAUAAGUCGGGUAAUCGCUUUGCUUUUUUUGCAAAGAGGAAAGUCCGGACACUCACCAUUUAUUUGGUAGCAGGAUAGCGGGUAACGCCCGUCUAAGCCAUAUCUUUUGAUGUGGUGACGAGGUGCGAGCAGAGACGCUUUAUUUUGAGAAAAAUAAAGCACCUCAUUUUUUUGAGGUGAGCUCUAAUAGCAAUAUUAGAGGUGAAACGGCUAAAUCCUUAUCUGAGUGCAAGACCGUGCUUCGCAUUUUUAAUGUCGAAGAGUUGUCGCUUGACCAUAUUGGCAACAAUAUGGCUAGAUAAAUGAUUGCCCAUUGAAUUUUUUCAAUGACAGAAUCCGGCUUAUAGGGUUAUCCUAAUA
Molecule: RNase P RNA, 362 nt
Filed under: Candidatus Moraniibacteriota bacterium
Lineage: Bacteria; Candidatus Moraniibacteriota
Description: RNase P RNA component class A
Rfam family: Bacterial RNase P class A
About the family: Ribonuclease P (RNase P) is a ubiquitous endoribonuclease, found in archaea, bacteria and eukarya as well as chloroplasts and mitochondria. Its best characterised activity is the generation of mature 5'-ends of tRNAs by cleaving the 5'-leader elements of precursor-tRNAs. Cellular RNase Ps are ribonucleoproteins.
Source: RNAcentral